GGCCUACUUUCUCCUCUUGAUGUGUUGUCAAAAGCUGAUUGGUGAAGAAAAGUUAAAAAAUUGCAUCUCCCCACCUUGCCUGUGCACCUUUUCACAAGCAGGUUGUGUGCAUUUUUUAAUUCAACAGGCAGGGUGUGCUUUUAACUCCAUCUUGCAGGCAGGUUGUAGGAUUCACUACGUCUUUCAUUUCAUCUCCUUUUUCUUCCCAUAGCUUGGGUGUGAUAUAUCUUUCAUUUCCACAGCU
RNAcentral lists this unclassified non-coding RNA (244 nucleotides) under Hevea brasiliensis (rubber tree). Lineage: Eukaryota; Viridiplantae; Streptophyta; Magnoliopsida; Malpighiales; Euphorbiaceae. The record is from RNAcentral.